UUAAACCGUUAUAGAUGACUCAUU
Molecule: non-coding RNA, 24 nt
Filed under: Arabidopsis thaliana (thale cress)
Lineage: Eukaryota; Viridiplantae; Streptophyta; Magnoliopsida; Brassicales; Brassicaceae
Source: RNAcentral